UAUGCAAAUAAGCUGUAUUUGCCACUUUCUUGACGUCUGCGCUCCAUUCUAAUCCCGAUUUUAGUUGCAUAUUCGCAUUAUUGUGAUCAUUGUUUAAUGUACUUCUUUCAUACAUAUCUAGAAAGAAAGUCUUAGGAAUUACAGUAUCUUUUAGGAGUUAAUAUAAUAAUCCGACAAAAAUAACAAGAUAAUAUACUUCCAUUUUUGUUUUCCUUGGUUUUGUUUUGAAUUGAGCUCUAGUUUCAUUAUCCUUUUCCUUCCAUGGAGACAUACGAGGUCUGUCGGGAAACUAUUCGGCCAUUGUUAAUAUGACAAGAGCGGUGUGUACGACAGCGGCGUAACCCGGCAGCAGAGGCGAGUGGGCCGGAGUGCGCAUGCGUGAACAAUGGCGCCUUCGCCCUACGAGUCAGCGGGGCGCUAGACGCUGUUGAUUGAGCAAAAGUACCGUGUGGCCGUCACAUCAGAAAUAAGCCAGAAGAGCAAUGGAUCUAUGUCAAAUUUCGCAUUAAGCUUGAACACUCCUCCGUGGAAACUAUUCGGGUGAUUCAGAAGGUUUUCAGGCAUGAUGCAGUGAGUUCAGCACCAAUAAAAGUGAGGCACAGACGCUUCACAGAUGGUGGAGACACGUUCUGGAAGGCCUGCAGCACGCAGAACACCUGAGAGUGUUGAACGUGUGGGUUAGGUUAAGGGAUGCCGGGAGAACUGUGGGAGGUCACAAGGCCUUUGACCUAGACCUGAGAGUUACACCAUCAGAUUCCCUGGUUCUGAGGCUUUUGGACUUGGAUUGAGCUGUGCUACCUGCUUCCUUCGUUUCCAGCUUGCAAACCUCCUAUUGUGGGAAUUCUCCGUCUCUGUAAUCAUAAUCUGUUUUCUGGAGCUCUUCGAUGCUCUCGAGUGGAUGGAAUUCUAAACUGUAGCAGAAAUGUAUUGAUAUCCAAAUGGGUUUCUUGGAACUGCCAGAUUUCAUCUUACCAAUAACUAAUAUGAACUUCAAUCAAGCCACAUAAAUCUCUGUCCAAGCCACAUCCUCGUGUUAGCACGCCACCUGUCUUGAUCUGUGCAAACAGCUGCACCACAAUCUUCAAAGUGAUUGAAUGAUUUACCUAAAUCUCUGACUUAAAAACAUUCAUUAAAAGUGUCCUAACACUGUAUAUAGUCGUUGCGUAUAUAUGCUUGCUUGUUCAUCCCAAGAAACUUAUUUAAUUUUAUUUUUUUAUAACAACUGUGCACUUGGACCCACACUGGGAUCCAUGGUUGUUAGGCGGUUGGCAGCACAAACCCACCAGCCUGGUAAGAAGAGAGCCAAAAUGUGCUACGCAAUAUAUAGAAGCUACUUUUGCUUCUCUAUCGGGUUUGUCAUCUGCUAAGCCUUAAAUUCCUUCUAGCAGCACCUUUACCUUUUACAUAUUUCCCCAUUAUAAUGCCAGUUCCUAUGCCUAUCUUUCUAAGUGAAAUCACUUAAAAAAACAUAACUUUGCAUUGCAAAUUGGAACAUCCAAGUUCACUACAUUGAUAUCCUCUGAAACCACAUAGUGUGAUAAAAAAACUUCUUGCUAGUAUAAUUGAUGUUAGGAAUAUUCAGUAAAUCUCAAUUCAGCAAGUAUUUGUUGAGAUGCAAUGAGAUACAAUUCAUUCAUUAGGGAGAUAUUUAUUGAAUGUCCAUUAAGUGAAAGGUAUUUUUCUGCUAUCAGAAUGUAAGCAAAGAGUAAGAGGGAUACAAUUCUCUCCUAUAAACAGUUUUGGAAAUAUGAAGGUUAUCAAGCCAUGGGGAUUUCAAAAGAAAUGAGACAUUUGCCUAAGCAUGAAAAGAGUUUAUUCAAAGAAAACAACAAAAAACAUGAAGUACUACAAACAGUGUGAAAAUGUCAUAGUUAAAGCACAAGUGAGUAAAAUGAUUGAAAAUGAAAUGUCAGCUACAUAAUAAAAAGUGCAGUGAAGGAAAAUAAACAAAAAAUGGAUCAAUUGUCAGCUAAUGAUGUGGCGCUUGCUAUUUUAUAUAGAGAGGUAAUCCUGAUAAAAUUGCAUAUUUGAAAUGAGGGAUGAAUCAUGUGAAUAUUUAAAGGAAGGCCUUUGCCAAGACCAGUAAAAUGCAAAUAUAAAUUCCCUCAGAAGAAAAAAAAAAUGACAUUCUUCCCCAAUUUUCUGCAUUUAUUUAUUUUUGAGAAACAGUAAAGAUAAUGGAGAGACUAGCGAAUCUGGAAAUGUGAGGAAGCGCCCGGCGCCAGAUCACUCAGGUACACCUUGGUAAUGACGUCAGGUUUGGAGUAUUUCCUGAAUGUGAUGGAAGCCAUUGCGUUAUUUUUGUUAAGUGAAUUAUGUGAUCCUACAUUUAUUUGUGAAAAAUAGAAAAUGAAGGAGUUGGAAAUAUUGGGUAGAGGGACAGUUGUUAGCAGUCUGUUGAAGGUGUCUAUAGAAAUAUGAUUUAUCUAGAAUGCUGGAGGUAAUAUAAUGAUAGAGUUCAGAUACAUUUAGAGAGUAAAUAGGAUACUUACCAAUGGCUUAGGUGUGAAUUGUUUAAUAAGCAAGAAGAUCAAAGGUUCAAGAGCAAUGGCUACAAAGAAAUAAUCAAGGAACAGAAUCCCAAACAGAAAAGCACUUCAGAAUGAGCAUGAAACUAUAGUGGCAUCCAAACAGAGGUGAGUUCCUGGUCUGGUAGAAAUAGCAGAGUGGUAAGCCUGACAUAGACUUUAUAGCCUCAGACAGAAAUUAGAAAAUCUUUUGAUGACAGUAUAAGUGAGCAGGACGUAGCAGAGUCUGUAAUAGCCUAAAAUGCAACAAGAAAUUAUUUAGUUCAAUAAUGUACAAUUCUUCUCCGCACCAGAAUUUUAAUGAUUAAGUAGCCAUGAGCUAUAAAAAAGAGAGAAUUUAUGAAAUUUUGGACAAUUUUGGAUUGAUUGGACUCCAAUUCUGCAACAGAUAUCCAUAGAAUGAUAAUGUGCACAUUUAUAUAUAUG
Molecule: non-coding RNA, 2954 nt
Organism: Microcebus murinus (gray mouse lemur)
Lineage: Eukaryota; Metazoa; Chordata; Mammalia; Primates; Cheirogaleidae
Source: RefSeq, a predicted model, not a curated record